GCCACGAAAGCUUUAAGAAGCUUCGGUUUUGUAACCCGAGGAUGGUGUUAAUUCACCUCAUGGCU
RNAcentral lists this transfer RNA (65 nucleotides) under Glottidia pyramidata. RNAcentral describes it as "tRNA-Thr". The record is from RNAcentral. Lineage: Eukaryota; Metazoa; Brachiopoda; Lingulata; Lingulida; Lingulidae.